Molecule: ribosomal RNA, 249 nt
Filed under: uncultured bacterium
Lineage: Bacteria
Description: partial 16S ribosomal RNA
Rfam family: Bacterial small subunit ribosomal RNA
Source: RNAcentral
GCAAGUCGAACGAGAUUUAUGACUUCGGUUAUAAUGAAAGUGGCGCACGGGUGCGUAACGCGUAUGCAACCUACCCUUUACUGGGGGAUAGCCCGGAGAAAUUCGGAUUAAUACCCCAUGGUAUUACAGAUUGGCAUCAUGAAGUAAUUAAAGAUUUAUUGGUAAAGGAUGGGCAUGCGUGACAUUAGCUAGUUGGUAAGGUAAUGGCUUACCAAGGCAACGAUGUCUAGGGGUUCUGAGAGGAUGAUC